CGGGUAGAGCGUGUUCCGUUCUCCAUAAUGGCGUGCCGACUGCGCUAAUGAUUCGAAUAUUUUUCAUUUAGAAAAUCAACAGUACUCCCCGUAAUGAAUUUCUACGCGGGACGCAUCGACACCGCUGGCAAAGAUUUCAAAGCCUGUUAUCGAGUGUAAUAUAAUAACACGGUACAUUUAGAAUGCCAAACGUAGGAGGAUUACACAGCGAAGGAGAGUACACGAGGCUAUAUCCAACGCGAGGGAGAUACGUGCUCCUCGAGCUUAAUAGCUCGACGAUGACAUCGUGGCUCCACCUACUCCUCUCUAUAAUUGUCCUCCAUUACUGCACUGAUAACCGUACUCUCCGCGAGUCGUGCGUUGUCCCUCAUAACAUCCAUUACGCCACCGCGGCUACUGCAUCGCGAGAUACAUUAUCGUGCACAUGCAGCAUGCACACGUGAAUCGCAAGUGCAUAAGCAAAUUACCAGAGGAAAAAGAAUAAGAAGAAGGCAUCGUUUGGAAUCUCUGUAUCACGUUAGGAUCGUUGUAACGAGAUCAUCGUCCCACGGCGUCCAUCCAGAUAGCAAAAUCUUCUUGGGCAGACUCAAUCCCGGCCAGUGAAUUCUCUCCUGAACGCGGCGCAGCGUUUACGGGAGCAAUCGAAGCGUGACUCUCUGGUGUCCUGUGUCCUGCGUCCUGUGUUCUACGUCCCGCGUGUUCUUUGACCGUGACCACGAAGCGUGGCAGUCGUGCGUGUGUCACUCAGUGACUCCUGGCCUCGCGGAUCACUCCUACUCCGCCCAGAACGUGCACGCGUGCUUUCUCCCGGGGUUCGUUCCUUGUCCCUUCUUGACCCUCGCCAGUCCUCUCCCGUUAUAUACUCGCCGGUGCUGCCCCCCCUCGGUACUCUAUCCCGUAGUUUCUUUAUAUCAUACUAUAGUAUAAUCCAGGCAUAGGUAGAUGAUACCCCCCUCGGGUAUGGCUUCUGUUCCCCUCGCCGAACACUCCUGACCAACCCGAUGCUGCUGCUGGCCGCCGCUGUGGCUGCUGCUGACGAAGCGUCGACUUCAGGAGGGCACGACGCUGCUGCUCCUCUCUGCUCCUAGGGGUGGAUGACUUCGCUUGGCUCUUCGCGGUCUCGUGUUCCUCUCCAGGCCGAGGAACUACUGUUUGCCACAUGGCCUCUCCUCUCUUUUGCUCUCUUACCCUUACUCCUGCUCUACUCUCUAUCUACCUACUGCACGCUGCUGGCUUAUACUCGGUCUCUCUCGUUCCCUCGCUGAAACGUCUGUCCAGCUCCGUCCCACGCGCUCGUACUAUCCGCUCCCUGUGCGCUGCUGCUGCUGCUGCUGCCAACCUCGCCGCAAUUAUUGCUAGCGUUCUGGCCUGACGUGACGUGACGGCAAGCCCAUGUGGGGGUCAGCCUUUGGGGUUAGGCGAAAUUACGCUGGGGAGACCAGCCCGAGGAGUAAGCGCGGAUACGCGUGCCACGAGUUGUACGUCCUAUCGCCACGCUCGAAAUCUCACGUACGUGCUGUACGGGUAAAGGGUUACCGAGGUGCUCGCUACCGUGAGUGGGCAGAGUGGCAAAGGCUCUUUGGGACUGACGUGCGUGGCGAAUCACGGUUCCAACUUUUGGCCGUACCGAUACUCUACCUCUGAUCACUGUACUCUUCGUUGUCCACUCGUGCGCGAUGGACCGUUAAAUAUUGUGGCAAAGACAAGCGGCCUAUCGCAAUGGCUAUGGGGAUCCAUGGUUUUAAUAGAUCUCACCAGGUCAACAAGAAAGCAAUGAGUGACCUUCAAAGUGGCCAGAUAAAACAAGAUAUUACAGUGGGCGUAAGAAAGGGCAAGGUAGUACACCGCUUAGAAAGCACUUCUCGUGAUGUAGUCGGUCAGUCUGUACGACGGUUGGUUCGUCCGACCAGAUAGACCCGACCGGGCAAGAGAGCCGCCGGGGAAAGGAGAGAAGAGGAGGUGAUGGCUGAUAGAGGAGCGCAGAGAGGAGGAGCAGGGAGUCCGAGUGAGGGAAAAUCAAGAGAGAGGGAGAGCUGGAAUAACCAAGCAAGAGAUAGGACCGAGGAAGAACAAGAUCGAAGUGGAUAGAACGAGAGAGAGCG
Long non-coding RNA from Cephus cinctus (wheat stem sawfly), 2102 nucleotides. RefSeq lists it as uncharacterized. The transcript is spliced from 3 exons. Lineage: Eukaryota; Metazoa; Arthropoda; Insecta; Hymenoptera; Cephidae. The record is from RefSeq and is a predicted model, not a curated record.